AAAAGCUAAAAUAAAAAUCUGAAACCUACCCUAAUUCAUUGCCUAUAAAGGCAUGCUAUUAUUGCCUUGCAAGGAGAGUUUUUUGGAAGCUUAGAGAGUCUAAAUUUAGAGAGGCUGCAGAUUUCUUAUGAGUUUGGGAGAAUCUGAAAUUUGAAGAGCCUAGAAUAGAGGGAGAUUUUUAGGAACUUCAGAGAUUUUCUUCAGAAAACACUGUUCCAUUGACCCUUGCUAUUGAAUUCUGAAGUUAAAACAACAUUUGGGUAGCUGAUAGUUGAAACAAAUUGAAAUCAAGUCUAUUUUUGUUUUUUUGGUUCAUAACUGAUUCAAAGGUAUUAAUCACAGCCCCUCCAUGAUAUAGCUCUCAAUUUGGAAUAAAAUAUAGACUAUACAGAUGUGAUUUUGUUUUUGUGAAGUCAAUUAGUUUUUCUUUAGUUAAAUCUUAGUAUUGUAUUAAACUAUGGACUUUUGAACUCUAUUAAUUUUAGUUUAGCUCUCGUAGGGUAGAUUAGUUGUUCAACUCACGUCAGUUUGAGUAUAAAAACGAGCCUGGAGUUUAGCAGGCUCUAUCAAAGUCUAUUGUGUUUAAAUUAUUGGGUGAAAUGGUUCUUUGAUUUAA
Nicotiana tabacum (common tobacco) is the source of this 616-nucleotide non-coding RNA. The record is from RefSeq and is a predicted model, not a curated record. Lineage: Eukaryota; Viridiplantae; Streptophyta; Magnoliopsida; Solanales; Solanaceae.